GUAAUUCAUGCGUCAAAAUGGCAGCGUUGGAUGCUAAAUCCAAAUGAACAAGAAAAGAAACGCUACCUUAAUUGACGCUCACAUUAUUUUUCACUAUACUAUUCGAUAAUAGUUCAUACAUCCAGAGUUGUUCCGCUCCAUACAACUCUAAAAUGGCUAGCCCGCUGCUGAAUUUCAGGACCCAUGUCGACCAGUCAUGCCGAUAUUCAGAAGAAUUUGUCAACAUUUAUUACGACUGCAUGGAUAAGAAAAGAAGGACCUACAUUCCAGGUGACGACCUCAUGAAGCUGACAAGCCAAGAGUGUGCAAAGCUGUCAUCAAGGCAAAACGGGGCUACUUUGAAGAAU
This is a long non-coding RNA of Notothenia coriiceps (black rockcod), 347 nucleotides long. RefSeq lists it as uncharacterized. The transcript has 3 exons. NCBI's taxonomy places the organism in Eukaryota, Metazoa, Chordata, Actinopteri, Perciformes, Nototheniidae. The record is from RefSeq and is a predicted model, not a curated record.